Molecule: ribosomal RNA, 440 nt
Filed under: uncultured bacterium
Lineage: Bacteria
Description: partial 16S ribosomal RNA
Rfam family: Bacterial small subunit ribosomal RNA
Source: RNAcentral
CCUACGGGAGGCAGCAGUGGGGAAUAUUGCACAAUGGGGGAAACCCUGAUGCAGUGACGCCGCGUGAGUGAAGAAGUAUUUCGGUACGUAAAGCUCUAUCAGCAGGGAAGAAAAUGACGGUACCUGACUAAGAAGUCCCGGCUAACUACGUGCCAGCAGCCGCGGUAAUACGUAGGGGGCAAGCGUUAUCCGGAUUUACUGGGUGUAAAGGGAGCGUAGACGGCAGCGCAAGUCUGGAGUGAAAUCCCAUGGCUUAACCAUGGAACUGCUUUGGAAACUGUGCAGCUAGAGUGCAGGAGAGGUAAGCGGAAUUCCGAGUGUAGCGGUGAAAUGCGUAGAUAUUAGGAGGAACACCAGUGGCGAAGGCGGCUUACUGGACUGUAACUGACGUUGAGGCUCGAAAGCGUGGGGAGCAAACAGGAUUAGAUACCCGAGUAGUC